GACGAACGCUGGCGGCGUGCUUAACACAUGCAAGUCGAACGGAAAGGCCCUGCUUUUGUGGGGUGCUCGAGUGGCGAACGGGUGAGUAACACGUGAGUAACCUGCCCUUGACUUUGGGAUAACUUUAGGAAACUGGGGCUAAUACCGGAUAGGAGCUCCUGCUGCAUGGUGGGGGUUGGAAAGUUUCGGCGGUUGGGGAUGGACUCGUGGCUUAUCAGCUUGUUAGUGGGGUAGUGGCUUACCAAGGCUUUGACGGGUAGCCGGCCUGAGAGGGUGACCGGCCACAUUGGGACUGAGAUACGGCCCAGACUCCUACGGGAGGCAGCAGUGGGGAAUAUUGCGCAAUGGGCGGAAGCCUGAUGCAGCAACGCCGCGUGCGGGAUAACGGCCUUCGGGUUGUAAACAGCUUUCGCCUGUGACGAAGCGUGAGUGACGGUAAUGGGUAAAGAAGCACCGGCUAACUACGUG
RNAcentral lists this ribosomal RNA (468 nucleotides) under uncultured bacterium. RNAcentral's name for it is "partial 16S ribosomal RNA". It matches the Rfam family "Bacterial small subunit ribosomal RNA", at positions 28 to 507 of the family's 1533-position model. The record is from RNAcentral.